GACGAAGGUGGCGAGCGUUGUUCGGAAUCACUGGGCAUAAAGCGCACGUAGGCGGUGCCGUAAGUCAGACGUGAAAUCCCUCGGCUUAACCGGGGAACUGCGUCUGAUACUGGAUGGCUUGAGUUUGGGAGAGGGACGCGGAAUUCCAGGUGUAGCGGUGAAAUGCGUAGAUAUCUGGAGGAACACCGGUGGCGAAGGCGGCGUCCUGGACCAACACUGACACUGAGGAGCGAAAGCCAGGGGAGCAAACGGG
This 253-nucleotide ribosomal RNA is filed under the name uncultured bacterium. Its description in RNAcentral is "partial 16S ribosomal RNA". It matches the Rfam family "Bacterial small subunit ribosomal RNA", at positions 524 to 776 of the family's 1533-position model. The record is from RNAcentral.